Molecule: unclassified non-coding RNA, 227 nt
Filed under: uncultured Mycena
Lineage: Eukaryota; Fungi; Basidiomycota; Agaricomycetes; Agaricales; Tricholomataceae
Description: sequence contains ITS1
Source: RNAcentral
UUGAAUACGAUUGGUACUGAUGCUGGCUCUUUACUGAGCAUGUGCUCGUUCCAUCUAUUUAUCUUCUCUUGUGCACAUCUUGUGGUCUUGAAUUGAAACCUCUCGCAUUCGUGCGGUCUGGGAGUCUGAAUAAACCCUGCUCCUGCUUCGUUCAAGAUCAUGUUUUCAUAUACACUAUAAAGUUACAGAAUGUCUUUUAACGACUGCUUGCAGUCAUUAAACCUAUA